UUUAUUAUCUUAAGUAUCUCAAGUAUAUAAGCUAACUCGCAUAACGUGGUUAACCGACUAGGGAGUGAUUCUACGUGGAAAAAUAAGUCGAAAAUGUGGAAUAACGUUUCUUUUGUUCCAGGCUUUGUUCUACCGAAAAUUGAGUUUUCGCGUAAUGUAAAUUUUGAAACAUUUCCCAACAAAGUUUUUUUCUGUGUUGAAUAUGAUCGGAGACUUGUGUAAUAGGUGGCCCAACUAGCAGAAUGAAUUUAAACCUCUUACGUAGACCAAGGAGAGGCAAGUUCGCGUAAUUAACGAGUAGAAAAGUACGUUGGACGCAAACAAGUCGGAAGUGAAAGUAACAAAGGGGAAACACGUGGGCGUGAUCGAGUAACGCGUAGAGAUCGUUGUCGGGGGUUCCAGUUGGGUGCUUUGCUAAGUUGGACAGCGUCCGUCCGAUGGGAAUCGACGGCGGCCAUCGGGAAUCACUUUGGUAAUCGACUAGCCUGGAAAUUUCCAUGCGGCCCACCAGAAUGUCCAGAGUUGCAUGAAUAUUCCAGCGAUUCGCGGCAAACAUCAAACUUCAAUUACUGGCUCAUUAAAACAUGCAACGAUCUUUUUCCAACGGGAUCGAACUUCAGACUGUCGGGACGAGUAUAGAGCCCUCAAAGAAAACCAGAG
This 660-nucleotide unclassified non-coding RNA is filed under the name Bombus terrestris (buff-tailed bumblebee). RNAcentral's name for it is "misc RNA ENSBTSG00005020331.1". The record is from RNAcentral. Lineage: Eukaryota; Metazoa; Arthropoda; Insecta; Hymenoptera; Apidae.